RNAcentral lists this unclassified non-coding RNA (329 nucleotides) under Hevea brasiliensis (rubber tree). The record is from RNAcentral. Lineage: Eukaryota; Viridiplantae; Streptophyta; Magnoliopsida; Malpighiales; Euphorbiaceae.
CAGAUAAGAAAGAGAAGAAAACUCGAGAGAAUUUACCAGUGAUGAUGAUAGUGGUGGAUGAUUCCAGGGAGCAUGAUAGGAAGCGAUGUAGGAGGGAUGAUGACGAGUACAGGGGGAGAUCACGUGAACAAAGCACUGGCGGCACGUCAAGCAGGCACAGGAAGCACAGGGAGCACAGUGAAGGGAGCCCAAGGAAAAGGAGGAGCGAGGGCCGAGGAUGACUCGGAUAGGAAAGAGACAAACUCGAGAGGAGGAAUUAGAGGAUGNUAGAGGAUGAACAGAAGAGAUUGGAUGAAGAAAUGGAAAAGAGGAGAAGAAGAGUUCAGGAG